RNAcentral lists this ribosomal RNA (468 nucleotides) under uncultured bacterium. RNAcentral describes it as "partial 16S ribosomal RNA". It matches the Rfam family "Bacterial small subunit ribosomal RNA", at positions 28 to 507 of the family's 1533-position model. The record is from RNAcentral.
GACGAACGCUGGCGGCGUGCUUAACACAUGCAAGUCGAACGGAAAGGCCCUGCUUUUGUGGGGUGCUCGAGUGGCGAACGGGUGAGUAACACGUGAGUAACCUGCCCUUGACUUUGGGAUAACUUCAGGAAACUGGGGCUAAUACCGGAUAGGAGCUCCUGCUGCAUGGUGGGGGUUGGAAAGUUUCGGCGGUUGGGGAUGGACUCGCGGCUUAUCAGCUUGUUGGUGGGGUAGUGGCUUACCAAGGCUUUGACGGGUAGCCGGCCUGCGAGGGUGACCGGCCACAUUGGGACUGAGAUACGGCCCAGACUCCUACGGGAGGCAGCAGUGGGGAAUAUUGCACAAUGGGCGGAAGCCUGAUGCAGCAACGCCGCGUGCGGGAUGACGGCCUUCGGGUUGUAAACCGCUUUCGCCUGUGACGAAGCGUGAGUGACGGUAAUGGGUAAAGAAGCACCGGCUAACUACAUG